GACGAACCACACGAACGUUAUUCGGAAUUACUGGGCUUAAAGGGUGCGUAGGCUGUGCAUAAAGUUAGGUGUGAAAUCCCCCGGCUCAACCGGGGAAUUGCGCUUAAAACUACUGUGCUAGAGGAAGACAGAGGUGAGCGGAACUUCGGGUGGAGCGGUGAAAUGCGUUGAUAUCCGAAGGAACACCGGUGGCGAAAGCGGCUCACUGGGUCUUUUCUGACGCUGAUGCACGAAAGCUAGGGGAGCAAACGGG
RNAcentral lists this ribosomal RNA (253 nucleotides) under uncultured bacterium. Its description in RNAcentral is "partial 16S ribosomal RNA". It matches the Rfam family "Bacterial small subunit ribosomal RNA", at positions 524 to 776 of the family's 1533-position model. The record is from RNAcentral.